Phycodurus eques (leafy seadragon) is the source of this 815-nucleotide long non-coding RNA. RefSeq lists it as uncharacterized. The record is from RefSeq and is a predicted model, not a curated record. The transcript is spliced from 3 exons. Lineage: Eukaryota; Metazoa; Chordata; Actinopteri; Syngnathiformes; Syngnathidae.
GGCGCGCAUCUAGGGCUCUCUCAUCCCGAGGCGGCGGAGACCGGGCCGACGAGCGCGGAGGGCAGAAGCACUCUACUGCGGCCCGAAACUACACCUUUGUGUGUGUGGGGUAGCUUUCGGAAAAAAGAUCCGUCCGGAAGGAAUUGCGGCGCAAGUUUCCUCUGAGUCACCACGGCGCUUCGGCCACCCUACCCCUGCUGUUAUCUGUUUUUCCUUUUUCUUCAAAUACACCUGUUCGGCGACCCAGCCGAGCCAUCUGGAAGACUGACCAGCCCGCCUAAAUUAUUUUCUACACCAGCAAGAGCUGUGUAACUGGGAACCGCCCUCAGAAAAUAAAAAGAGAGGGAUCAGCAGAGUGUGCUCAGAGCAGUAGGAGAUUGUAACUGCGAACAACUCUGUCCGUUCUCCUCGCGAGUAAAGGCAAUAAAGGCCUACUACUGGAGCGAAACUGAGUGCUUUGACGCUCGCCGCUCGGCCCCACAACCGUCCAGAGAUUCGGAGGAGGCCUCCCCUGAAAGCUGGAUUCUGUUGGAUUGUUCUAUUUUGUACUCAUGAAGCUAUGUUCCUUUAUUUAACAAUUAAGUUCCGUUUCCAAAACACCAGGGUAAUACAUGUUUAAGUUUUGUUAUCCAUGAGAAUAUGUAGAAGGUAGAUUACUGAAGAAUGAUGGUGUUAGGGUGACUCCCCCUUUUCUGAUAACACCCAAGGCCAGAGGUACCUUCUGCUAAACAUAUAUCAAAAUCUUUGGAUGAACAGUCAUAACGAAACCUUCUAUGUGAAUAAAAGGAUUUAGCUCAAAUAAACGAGGUGUGUCA